This is a long non-coding RNA of Aquila chrysaetos chrysaetos, 3143 nucleotides long. RefSeq lists it as uncharacterized. The transcript is spliced from 6 exons. The record is from RefSeq and is a predicted model, not a curated record. Lineage: Eukaryota; Metazoa; Chordata; Aves; Accipitriformes; Accipitridae.
UUUUUUUGGCAGUAAACUGUUACUCACCACAGGGAAGCUGGAAACCAGAUGCCAAUUCUGUUUUACUGCUCAGAGGGGUGAUGAACAAUUUCAGAGCAUUCUUAAGACCAUGCCUUCAUGGAGCGUGAUCUGACUAUAGUGGGAUGCCAUGUACGCUGGGGAGGCAGGAGGAGGACCAGCAGCAGUAGAAUCACAAACCUGUGUUUCAUUCUCCCUUGUAAGGAUUCCAGCCAAAUGCAAUAGCAGAUGCUUUUUGGUUUCUAGUGGAGCUAUUGGAGUUAAAUUCUUGGGCAUAGGAGUCAAACUCCUCUGGUUUCAGCAGGCCUGCGUUUAAGCAGCUGAAAGUAAAACCUGGCCCAUCUUUUUGAGGGAGAAAGCUAUUCAUUCAAGAGGAUUUAUCGGAAGGGGACAGGAACACCAAAACACAUCUCAGUGCUUCAAGGAAAAGAACGGAAAAUAGCCACGGACCAUAGGCAAAUGGAGACUGAUGGAAAGGAAAGAAGAAGACUGCAAAGCUGAAGAACGGAGAGAUGUCUAAGAAGAUGGAGAGGGUCACUGGGCAACGUAGAGAAAAGACACAGCCUGUAACGCUGUCAAGGCUUUAUGCAGCACUUUGUCUGGGUUUUGUUUGGCUCCUCGGACACAAACCAGCCACGGCAAUGUGAGAACAGACCGUCUUCUAUGGCCAAAAAGAAUUAGGGUCUCCAUCAAUACCUGGAGGAUGACUUUGAUAGCAGCACCCAAUCUGGCACCAGCACAUGGAAAUGCACUGCAGCUGCGCAGUUAGUCCUCAUGGAUGCGGGGAAAAUCCUCCUUUUUUUUCCCCCAGUUUCAAAAGCAUGAGAUCCAUCACUGGCCACUUGAUUUCUAGCGCUUGAGAAGCAAUCAGUAAAUGGCUCUGAGGAGGAAACAUCCCUGCCCAUCACCGUAUAGAACAGAUGGGUGCAUGAAGGGUGAUGUGGUUCUGCAUAUCAUCAAGAUACAUGAUUCCGCACCAGAGGAAGCUGGUUCAAGCAGAAAGACACCCAAGACGCUGAAGUAACAAGGAGUAAUUUAGCCAAAGUCAUCUAGGACGCUAAGAGUGAAUUACAGCCGGAUCAGAAGACUGAAUCAAAGAGCAUCUCUUAUCUCCCCUUGGAUUUUCGGUGAUCCUUGAUAGCAGAGAAAGCUGGGUCACAGCUAGAUCAUGACAGUAAGGAGAAAUGGAGAUGGGAGUAUUGGAGAUAAAACAAGGAGUCGGAACACUGAAAAGAAGAGAUGCUUUUGGAAGAGCAAAGUGGCCAGUUCUGGUUUUGUCUAGUUAAUCGUCCUCCAGCAAAGCCUGACUCUCUGUUAAUGCCAACAGUCGUAGCUGGAUGGAGGAUGCUAGUGAGUGUAUAAUGGCAGCUGCUUUUCCCUUGCAGUCUUUAUUACAAAGAUCUCAUUCUUGCCUCUGUGGGACCUAUUGAAAUCCUGAGUAUGGCAAGUGCCGGAGAACCAACCACUGUUGACAACUGGCCGGUUGUAGCAGGACACAAAAACCUUCAUUGCUUGGAAUUGGGUGAUUCAAGUAGCCUCCACGAUGUCUUGUCUUGGGCUGAACCAUCUACUGAGGGGAAAAGAAACAGAGGCACAGAUUUUAUGUUGGAAGAAGCUUUGAAGGUAAUUCCAAGGACUGUUGUAUAAUUUGUCUGGGAAAAUAUGUUAAUGAGAUGUUAACAUGCCUUAUAGCUUCUGGUCCUGCUGAAAUCAGAGGAGGCAUAUGAGGGGAACAAGACUGCAGUUUAUCAAGCUCAGUGGUGCUUUUUGGCUAUUGUUAAAAUCCCUUAAAACAAGUUUCCAAAGGUUUAACUUGUGUAGGAAGAUAGACCUUUUUUUUUUUAAUGUGGUGUAUAGGAAAAAGAAAACUGACCAAUGCCCCCCUGUAUUCAUGAGGAAGAGUCAAACUGAAAAUAUCAACUAAAUUUAGGACAAUUAUUCUUUUGUGCAAUAGAUAAUCAGGAAAAAUAGAAAUUGAAAUAAUUACUGCACCCUUCUGAAUAUAAUGGUUAAAUUUAAAAAGAUGCUAAACAUUUAUUAAUGUCUUUUAUGGUUAUGUUUGUGAGAUGGUCAGCAGUCAACAUACAAAGCAACUUAAUUUUUGCUGAGAUCAGGAGAGCACCUUUUCUUUCAUGGACGACAGUGCAAAUGUGUAGAAGCAGGGACGCCUUACUCGAUGCAUUAGCUGUGGCAUUGCUAAAGGGAGGGAGAUGAAAGAUGUCUGAUGCAGUGUUUUGCAGGCAUAGAAUUUCAAGCUAGAAAGACAUGAUGUAGCAAUCAGGUGAUGUUCAGAACAAGAAGGGAUGCGGUCUGGUGGUUCUUUGUUUCUAUGGUUACAUUCAGCUGGAAUUGCUGUAACUAGGUCAGAUUGGAAGGUGUGAAUGAAAACAAAGACAUUUGGAAUCGGUAAUGAGAGUUCAGAGAGAAGACUGUUGCUAUGAGGGAGAGCAAGAAGGGAGUUGAAUGUGGAACCAGGCAUUUUAAUGUACACUUGUAAUGUGUAUGUAUGAAGUCCCACACAGAUGGAUCUAUUUCAGCGUCAUUCACUCUUCUAUCAUUAUGCAGUAGUCUAUUAUAUGAAGAAUCAUCUGCAGACCCUUAAACAGGCGUAUUAUGCGAUAGACCUGCGGUGACACCUUUCCUCCCUCUGGCUGCAUAUCCAGGCAGCAGCACCCAACGGAGCCAGAGGAACAGAAAAGGCCGUGGCAGCUGAAAGGGAGAGGCAGGACAGACGGAAAAGCUGGAGAGAUUUGGUGGAAAAGGGAAACAAAACCAAGGGCAGGGAAGAUGAGGCAUCCUCAGCCCAGAAGUAAAGGAGAAACAGGUUGUGAAAGCGGUCUAAAAAGAAGCAAGAGUGAACUGCGCUGCAGAGCCUACGCAUCGUUCCUCUGUUGAUGGCUCGGGUCCGUGGCUUUUCUGCUGUCUCUAAAUCCUCUAUCUGGUGCAUGAUAUCAUUUUCCAGGCUGUGUCUUCACCUGGCAUGGAACAUUGACCACCAAGCCUCUGUCCUUUCCAACUAGCAAGUCACCUAGGACCAGCCACUUGGUAUUUUGAUCCCUUUCCCACGUUUCUUACCUGCUCAGUGCAGGAUUUGGCAUUUGCUUAUGUUAAACUACUUGAAGUUC